This 450-nucleotide ribosomal RNA is filed under the name uncultured bacterium. RNAcentral's name for it is "bacterial SSU rRNA". It matches the Rfam family "Bacterial small subunit ribosomal RNA", at positions 414 to 873 of the family's 1533-position model. The record is from RNAcentral.
GCCUUCGGGUUGUAAACCCCUUUUCUCAGGGAAGAAUAAUGACGGUACCUGAGGAAUAAGUCUCGGCUAACUACGUGCCAGCAGCCGCGGUAAUACGUAGGAGGCGAGCGUUAUCCGGAUUUACUGGGCGUAAAGAGGGCGUAGGCGGCCUUUCAAGUCGGAUGUGAAAUCUCCCGGCUCAACUGGGAGGGGUCAUUCGAUACUGUUGGGCUAGAGGGCAGCAGAGGGAGGUGGAAUUCCCGGUGUAGUGGUGAAAUGCGUAGAUAUCGGGAGGAACACCAGUGGCGAAGGCGGCCUCCUGGGCUGUUCCUGACGCUGAGGCCCGAAAGCGUGGGGAGCAAACAGGAUUAGAUACCCUGGUAGUCCACGCAGUAAACUAUGGACACUAGGUAUGGGGGAGGGGUGGGGGCCUCUCUGUGCCGAAGCUAACGCUUUAAGUGUCCCCGCCAC